UACGUAGGAUGCAAGCGUUGUCCGGAAUUAUUGGGCGUAAAGAGCGCGCAGGCGGUAUGACAAGUCAGAUGUGAAAGAGGCCGGCUUAACCGGCAAGGGUCAUUUGAAACUGUCAGACUAGAGUGCAGCAGAGGAUAGUGGAAUUCCCGGUGUAGUGGUGAAAUGCGUAGAUAUCGGGAGGAACACCAGUGGCGAAGGCGAUCACCUGGGGUUGUUCUGACGCUGAGGAGCGAAAGCUAGGGGAGCAAACGGG
RNAcentral lists this ribosomal RNA (253 nucleotides) under uncultured bacterium. RNAcentral's name for it is "partial 16S ribosomal RNA". It matches the Rfam family "Bacterial small subunit ribosomal RNA", at positions 524 to 776 of the family's 1533-position model. The record is from RNAcentral.